RNAcentral lists this ribosomal RNA (253 nucleotides) under uncultured bacterium. Its description in RNAcentral is "partial 16S ribosomal RNA". It matches the Rfam family "Bacterial small subunit ribosomal RNA", at positions 524 to 776 of the family's 1533-position model. The record is from RNAcentral.
UACGGAGGAUCCGAGCGUUAUCCGGAUUUACUGGGUUUAAAGGGUGCGUAGGCGGGCGCCUAAGUCAGCGGUGAAAGGCAGCGGCUCAACCGUUGAACUGCCGUUGAAACUGGGCGCCUUGGAUUCGGUCGAGGUUGGCGGAAUGCGUGGUGUAGCGGUGAAAUGCUUAGAUAUCACGCGGAACGCCGAUUGCGAAGGCAGCUGACCAGGCCUGAAUCGACGCUGAGGCACGAAAGCGUGGGGAUCAAACAGG